UACGUAGAAGACUAGUGUUAUUCAUCUUUAAUAGGUUUAAAGGGUACCUAGACGGUAUAAUUAGUCUUAAAUAGGAAACGGUUAUGCUAGAGUUAUAUAUGAGGAGGUGAGUAUUUAUGGAGUAGAGUUGAAAUUCUGUCAUACCAUAAGGACUGGUAACGGCGAAAGCAACCUUUUAUCUAAUAACUGACGUUGAGGGACGAAGGCUCGGGUAACAAACAGG
Molecule: ribosomal RNA, 223 nt
Filed under: uncultured bacterium
Lineage: Bacteria
Description: partial 16S ribosomal RNA
Rfam family: Bacterial small subunit ribosomal RNA
Source: RNAcentral